AAGAAUUGCUCAAACACGUUAUCGACAGAUGUCUAUUACUUCAAUCGAUUUUAUCGUGCCUGGACAUAUGGUUUUGUCAGAAAUCAACAGGAUUCGUAAAAAAAAAUAUACAUGAGAAUGAUUCUCAAGAUAUAAAUGGAAAAUGAAAUUUGGUGAAAACAUGAACGGGUUCUAAUGAUUCAAGAUGGUAGAAAUGAGGCAUCAAAUUGAACAUGAUAUUGUAAGGGUUAAGAUUCCAACGGAAUCUCUUUCUCCAUGUGUGACAAUACGAUAUUACGACAACUUGGAACAACGACAUCGGUCCAACCAAACCUCGUACGUGAUUGACCUGUUGAAAUGGAAAGAGACAAGUUAC
This is a long non-coding RNA of Acromyrmex echinatior (Panamanian leafcutter ant), 355 nucleotides long. NCBI's taxonomy places the organism in Eukaryota, Metazoa, Arthropoda, Insecta, Hymenoptera, Formicidae. The record is from RefSeq and is a predicted model, not a curated record.